This 385-nucleotide unclassified non-coding RNA is filed under the name uncultured Gaiellales bacterium. RNAcentral's name for it is "contains 16S-23S intergenic spacer region". The record is from RNAcentral. Lineage: Bacteria; Bacillati; Actinomycetota; Thermoleophilia; Gaiellales.
UCCGAGUUGACCCCGGCAGUCUCCUAUGAGUCCCCACCACCCCGAAGGGCGUGCUGGCAACAUGGGACGGGGGUUGCGCUCGUUGCGGGACUUAACCCAACAUCUCACGACACGAGCUGACGACAGCCAUGCACCACCUGUGAAAGUGUCCCGAAGGAAGACCGUGUUUCCACGGCAUUCCAGUGCAUGUCAAGCCUUGGUAAGGUUCUUCGCGUUGCGUCGAAUUAAACCACAUGCUCCGCUGCUUGUGCGGGUCCCCGUCAAUUCCUUUGAGUUUUAGCCUUGCGGCCGUACUCCCCAGGCGGGGUGCUUAAUGCGUUAGCUUCGGCACGGACGGAGUCGACACCGCCCACACCAAGCACCCAUCGUUUACGGCGUGGACUAC